CCGGAGCUUGCGUCCACCGGAAAAAGAAGAGUGGCGAACGGGUGAGUAACACGUGGGUAACCUGCCCAUCAGAAGGGGAUAACACUUGGAAACAGGUGCUAAUACCGUAUAACAAUCGAAACCGCAUGGUUUUGAUUUGAAAGGCGCUUUCGGGUGUCGCUGAUGGAUGGACCCGCGGUGCAUUAGCUAGUUGGUGAGGUAACGGCUCACCAAGGCCACGAUGCAUAGCCGACCUGAGAGGGUGAUCGGCCACAUUGGGACUGAGACACGGCCCAAACUCCUACGGGAGGCAGCAGUAGGGAAUCUUCGGCAAUGGACGAAAGUCUGACCGAGCAACGCCGCGUGAGUGAAGAAGGUUUUCGGAUCGUAAAACUCUGUUGUUAGAGAAGAACAAGGAUGAGAGUAACUGUUCAUCCCUUGACGGUAUCUAACCAGAAAGCCACGGCUAACUACGUGCCAGCAGCCGCGGUAAUACGUAGAGUGGCAAGCGUUGUCCGGAUUUAUUGGGCGUAAAGCGAGCGCAGGCGGUUUCUUAAGUCUGAUGUGAAAGCCCCCGGCUCAACCGGGGAGGGNCAUUGGAAACUGGGAGACUUGAGUGCAG
Molecule: ribosomal RNA, 601 nt
Filed under: uncultured bacterium
Lineage: Bacteria
Description: bacterial SSU rRNA
Rfam family: Bacterial small subunit ribosomal RNA
Source: RNAcentral